GGCGGCGGGCUUCUCUUCCGCCAUCACAGGGCGGGCCUCGCCUUCCUUCUCUGGGAAGAGGCUCCCUCCCCUCUUUGUAGACACGCGCUCCGCCAUCAUGUCUCGCUACACGCGGCCCCCCAACACCUCGCUCUUCGUCAGGAACGUGGCCGACGCCACCAGGCCUGAGGAUUUGCGUCAUGAAUUUGGUCGGUAUGGCCCCGUAGUAGACGUGUACGUUCCACUUGACUUCUACACAAGACGCCCAAGAGGAUUUGCUUAUAUACAGUUUGAAGAUGUUCGUGAUGCAGAAGACGCUCUUUAUAACCUGAAUAGAAAGUGGGUAUGUGGCCGGCAAAUUGAAAUACAAUUUGCACAAGGUGAUCGCAAAACACCAAAUCAGAUGAAAUCCAAAGAGCAUCACCAUGGUUCACCAAUGGACUACAGAAGGUCAAGAAGCCGCAGCCGAAGAAGGACCCGAAGCAGAAGUUCCUCAUGGGACUGGGGCAGGAGACACUCGGAUAGUUUCAGAGAGCAUUCUAGCUCACCAAGACGAUCGAUCACACCCCAAAGAAAUUCGAGUCCCAGGAGAAGGUCGCGAUCAAAGUCCUACCAGAGAAGUUCAAAGUAUGCUGAAAAAUCACCAUCUAGUUCCCAUCGGAGGCGUUCCAGUUCAAGAACAAAGUCACGAUCGCAUCCAAAACAUUCAGGAUCUCCAACUAGAUCACCCUCGAAAUCUCCUCGGAAACAUACUAAUUCCAGUUCUCGUUCAUACUCUCGGAAUUUCUAUCAGAGAAAUAGUAACCAGUCAGCAUCUGAAGAAGAUUAAUAUGGUUUUUUUAAUGACCGUGUUUAUGAGCACAAAUUAAAGAACACAGAAAUAUUCAGUUUUUUAAAAUGAAAGGUAAUUAAUUAAUGUUGGCCUUGCUUCAAUGUGUAAAACUCUUUAAAAUUUGUAAUACUUUUACAAAAGCAUUGAUUUAGUAGUCAUCCUCUUCUUACUAGUAAGAGCCCAUUAGUACUUCAGUCCUAAGCUGUGUAAUCAUACAUUGGCAGCAUUCUGUGCAGUGAUAGUUUUUUUUCUGCUGCACUGGAAUGGCUUAUUUUUAAAUCAUACUGUCAUCACUUGUCUUGAAGCUGCCAAAACCUAAGGACAUUACAACUGUGCACUGGCUAGAAGCCAUAUAUAGAUCUUUUCCUAUUUGGUGGGAAGAGUCAUACAGCCUGUUUAUUUUUCACACAGGUUUUUAAUUGUUGCAGUGUAAUUAUAGUACAAGCAAAGCUUUUAAGUAACUGCUAGAACUAGGACUGAGCCUUUCACUAUGGGUUUUAAUACUGGCAGUAAUUGAAUAAGGCUGCUGUGUUCCCUUACUACUUUUCUGGAUGUCCUUUCUGUAAUCAGUAGGAAGUGGGUUGCAUGUAUAGAUUCCUAAAUUUGGACAUAGGACCAGAGUUAGGAUGAGGUGUAUUUCAGCUUAGUCUAAAUUUGGAGCAGAAUGAAGUGCAAAUGAAGUGGUACAAUACUUUCUAAUGCUUAAUGUGGGCUUAAUACAUUCAAAUAUUCCUGUUGUAGCUAAAGAGAAACCUGCUUCCUCCAAAAUAGAAAACAAUCUCACUUGGCAAAUGUUUUAAACUAGAAUAGUGUUUCUUCCUGUGCUCAAAUCCCGUUUUUAGUGAGUCUUUAUGGUAAGACAAAACUGAAGUGUUAAUCAACAUUAAUGCCUGUGAGUAGUCAAAUCUAAUAUGCAUUGGACAUUUUUCGAAAAAGUUAAUUGGUUAUAUAAAGACAUUCUGUCUUACUGUGCUACAAGUUUUUAAGCACUUGUUUUUCAUAUAUGUUGGAAUGUUUUUGUGAAAAAUGUUAAACACUUAACAUACGUAAUACUUAACAUUUUAUUACAUGUUCUCUUUUCAAGAAUAUUGUGAAGUCAGUGUAAAAGACAUUUUCUUCAUGCAUUUUUAAAAUUCUGUAUCCCUUGAACUAUUUUAAUGAGCCUGAAAGCAUUAUUAGGUUAUUUUAACUUAUGUAACAGGAAAUUUUGAGAAUGUUUUUAGUAUAUUGCAUUUGCAUUGUGUAGGUUUGUGUGUAUGAUAGCUGCGAUGUUUGCUAACUUGUAGAAGUUCUGUAUAAUCUUUCUGUGAAAUAUGUAUUAGUAGUUCAUACUCAACAAUGUAGUAUGUUUAUUAAGCAAGAGAAUAUUUCAUAAACUGCAUCAGAAUAUGUAUUUGUGCUCUGUUAACAUUACCCAAUAUCACACGCUAUAAAAAUAGAUUAGACUAAAAUGUACAUGCAAAAUGUUAACAAUCAUACUGAUGCAUUUCCUGAUAUGUGCUAUAAAGAUUUAGCAGCUGAUAUACACAGGUCACAUUGUAAGAAGUAAGGAUAAUAAAAUGUUUUUAUUUUAUAUGUUUUAAUCAUGAUUAGAGGACCUUAGAACCAAUUAAACUUUAUAAAAUUAUGUGCUUAGCUUCAGGAUUUGAGACAGUGGUGUGAAUCAAGAUAAAAGUUUAUACCAAGCUCUGUUUUAUCAUGUAGAUAGAAUAGCAGCAAACCACUUUCAAAAUACAGAGGAAAGCUUGAGAAAAGCCAAACAGAAAUUUUAACAAAGGUUUAGAAGGAGAGAGUAUAAAAUCAAAAGUGAAGAUAUUGGAAGAAAACAUUUUAAAAAUAUAUUGGAAUGCUUAAUGUCAAUAAUAAGUGAUCAAAGCAGUAAAAUACUAUAAGACUGCAGUUAUAUUCAAUUCAUAACUGAAAAUUUUGAUAUUUUCACUAGGGACUUGCCACAAUGAGAAUAUCUUUUGCAUGAAACAGAACCAAGUGCUUCAGGCAGAUGUGAUAUAUCAUUAAAAAGGAUAUAAACAUUUGGGAAAGUCCACUUGGACAAUUUACUGCAUAAUACAUUUGUGGUUAAUCGUUGUCAAAUCAACUUCUAAUGGCCCUAUGAAUUAGAAACUUCCAGGUCAUACUAUUAACAGCUUUGCUCAGAUCUUGCAAACUUGGAGCUAUGGCUUUUUUGGUUGAGUUCAUCCACUUGUAAAAUAAUCUUCUAUUGCUUGUAGCUUAACAAGCAUUUUCUAGUGAGGCAUGUCUUCUCAUGAUGUGCCAAAAAUAUAACAGUCGGUUUUGUUAUUUUGGCUUCUAGGAAAAGUUCAUCCUUUUUUGGAUUCAUUUAUUUGUCUUUUUUGCAGUUCGUGGUAUCUGUAGAGUUCUUCUCUACUAUAUUUCAUGUGUUUCAAUUUUCUUCCUGACAAUUUUUUUCCAAUUCAGCUUUUACAGCCAUAUAUAGGCAUUAGAAAUACGAAAUGGAUAAUUGUCAAUUGUCAAUAAUAUGAAAUACAGCAAUACCUAUUGAAUUAGAGUUUGUUGAAACUAUUUUGGCUUUGAUGUGGUAUUACCCUGUUCUGUACUAGAUUCUUCAAAUUAUGUUAAAUAAAGCUAGGUAAUAAGGUGGUAAGUAGACAUUGGUUAUACUUCCUGGGAUGGGAUGUUACACCCCCAUCUUCCACUCUUCUGGUGUGAUAUACAUAGAUCUAUAUGAGAACAAAAAGGUACCUGUCAUUGUUCCCUUAAAUUGGGGUGGCACCAAAACCCCUACCCCUAGGAAGCAUGUCUCUCCCAUUUGCUCUUGUUCCCUCAAUUCUUCCCUUGCUGGAAAGCGUUAUUGGGCCUUGAGGUGACUCCUUAAAUGUGGACUUGUUCUGUGUUAUGCAAGUUCUUGGGUAUGUGUGAACAGACUUGAAUUCAGGUUUGACAGUCCAAAGACAGAUUUAAAAUUAGGUUUGUUAAACAAUAGAAAAAUAUAUUUCUAACAAUAUAUUUUUUGAUCUCCAUAAACCAGGGGUAGUUCUCUCAAAUCGAAAAAUUCAGUUCAAAGAUCUGUCUGUCGAAUGUAAACCCUGUCAGUAGCAGCUCAAAGCCCUGUCUCCUCUCAGAGGCCUCUGCUUUUGGGUACAUUCUGUUCCUCUUCAAUCUCCUAGAGUUGUGGUUGACUGCAUUCAGGCCAUGGUUUGCACCUCAUUCACAGUGUAUACACACUAACACACCCAAUACCCCAUCUUUUUACAUGGCAUCAUAAAAUCUCAAUCCCAGUUUUACAAUUGAGAUUGGGAACUGCUCCCUCCCCUCACUCCUCCAUAGCAACUGCCAACGCCUGCUCCUUUGACUAAGGUUAAAUAAGAGCCCAAAUGUGGAAGUCAAAUUGACUUUGGACUGGGGAAAAACAGGCUUCAAAGCGCAGUAGGAAAUGAUGUAGAAAAAGCAAAUGCAGAACCAAUAGGGAAGAACAGGUUUGUUGGAAGGCUCUGCGGUCUGAUGAAUAAACCAAGUGUGCAUAUGUGUUUUGAUGGGUGCAACUAUGUAAACAAUGUGGGAAGGCUUGUAUUUUGUGUUGAAAUUAUUUGAGGGCAUUUUAAAAUUAAAUGUAAAUUUGUUUCUUUUAAAGACA
Long non-coding RNA from Anolis carolinensis (green anole), 4424 nucleotides. RefSeq annotates it as serine/arginine-rich splicing factor 12. The record is from RefSeq and is a predicted model, not a curated record. The transcript is spliced from 5 exons. NCBI's taxonomy places the organism in Eukaryota, Metazoa, Chordata, Lepidosauria, Squamata, Anolidae.